AUUGAACGCUGGCGGCAUGCCUAACACAUGCAAGUCGAACGAGUGGCGGACGGGUGAGUAAUGUCUGGGAAACUGCCCGAUGGCGGGGGAUAACUACUGGAAACGGUAGCUAAUACCGCAUACCAUCGGAUUUGCCCAGAUGGGAUUAGCUAGUGGGUGGGGUAACGGCUCACCUAGGCGACGAUCCCUAGCUGGUCUGAGAGGAGGACCAGCCACACUGGAACGGAGACACGGCCCAGACUCCAACGGGAGGCAGCAGUGGGGAAUAUUGGACAAUGGGCGAAAGCCUGAUGCAGCCAUGCCGCGUGUAUGAAGAAGGCCUUCGGGUUGUAAAGUACUUUCAGCGGGGAGGCGGUACCCGCAGAAGAAGCACCGGCUAACUACGUGCCAGCAGCCGCGGUAAUUC
RNAcentral lists this ribosomal RNA (406 nucleotides) under uncultured bacterium. Its description in RNAcentral is "partial 16S ribosomal RNA". It matches the Rfam family "Bacterial small subunit ribosomal RNA", at positions 30 to 526 of the family's 1533-position model. The record is from RNAcentral.